Molecule: unclassified non-coding RNA, 378 nt
Filed under: uncultured Chlamydiales bacterium
Lineage: Bacteria; Pseudomonadati; Chlamydiota; Chlamydiia; Chlamydiales
Description: contains 16S-23S intergenic spacer region
Source: RNAcentral
UCCUGGUUAACCCAGGCAGUCUCGUUAGAGUUCCCAGCUUCACCUGUUGGCAACUAACGAUAAGGGUUGCGCUCGUUGCGGGACUUAACCCAACACCUCACGGCACGAGCUGACGACAGCCAUGCAGCACCUGUGUAAAGGCCCCUAAGGGCGUUAUCAUUUCUGUUAACUUCCUCUACAUGUCAAGUCUGGGUAAGGUUCUUCGCGUUGCAUCGAAUUAAACCACAUGCUCCACUGCUUGUGCGGGUCCCCGUCAAUUCUUUUGAGUUUCACCCUUGCGAGUGUACUCCCCAGGCGGUAUACUUAUCGCGUUCGCUACGGCACAACCGGGGUUGAGUCCAGUUACACCAAGUAUACAUCGUUUACGGCAAGGACUAC